UAUAUACAUUCAUAUGUUGUUUUCUAGUAGAAAUUUUAAAUAGACUUAUAUUCAUAUGUAUGACCGUAUAAAAUGAUCGUGGAAGGCGGCUGACUCCAUGAAUUGAUUUCAUCUCUCGGAAGUUCCACACAAUCUUCUCAAUCUUGGGGGUCACGUGGAAGUUGAUGUCAGUAAUGUCUGCUCCUUUGAUGAGAAUAAACUCAAGAUUUUUGAAUACUCCUUCCUAAAGGGUCAUUUGUUGUUUCCACACGGAGUGAGAGAGAGAGGAGGCUCUGGUUCAGCCUCUUAACUCUUCGCUGAUACAUAAUAUGCUAUCAUUUCCUUCUUUUUCCUUUGAUUUAGGCCUGAUGGUCUGCAAGACAAAGAUGGGGGAGUACGGGAGCUGAUUGUUGGGAAGGAUGAUGAGCUUCUCCAGACUGACACUAAGGCGAUUCCUAGAGCUGAUGUGGCCGAAGUUUGUGUUCAGGCCCUGCAAUAUGAAGAGGUAAAAUUCAAGGCAUUCGAUUUGGGCACCUCGACGAAGGAUUUCAAAGCGCUGUUCUCCCAGGUCACAGCCCGGUUUUGAGCCGUCAGUCACAAAGCAUGCUGCCAUUUCUAGAAGGAUCCUAGUGUGUAAGCUUUUGUGCAUUAUGGAGUUGCUGACUGGUGUAAUUGCACAAUCGGGUUAUCAAUAAUGCUGAAAAUAAACUCCUGCCGAUGCAUGGAGAUUGGAGAA
This is a long non-coding RNA of Hordeum vulgare subsp. vulgare (domesticated barley), 715 nucleotides long. RefSeq lists it as uncharacterized. NCBI's taxonomy places the organism in Eukaryota, Viridiplantae, Streptophyta, Magnoliopsida, Poales, Poaceae. The record is from RefSeq and is a predicted model, not a curated record. The transcript is spliced from 2 exons.